RNAcentral lists this ribosomal RNA (253 nucleotides) under uncultured bacterium. RNAcentral's name for it is "partial 16S ribosomal RNA". It matches the Rfam family "Bacterial small subunit ribosomal RNA", at positions 524 to 776 of the family's 1533-position model. The record is from RNAcentral.
UACGGAGGAUGCAAGCGUUAUCCGGAAUGCUUGGGCGUAAAGCGUCCGCAGGUGGCAAUGUAAGUCUGCUGUUAAAGAGUCUAGCUCAACUAGAUAAGAGCAGUGGAAACUACAUAGCUAGAGUACGUUCGGGGCAGAGGGAAUUCCUGGUGUAGCGGUGAAAUGCGUAGAGAUCAGGAAGAACACCGGUGGCGAAGGCGCUCUGCUAGGCCGUAACUGACACUGAGGGACGAAAGCUAGGGGAGCGAAUGGG